GGCCCUAUGGUCUAACGGUCUAGGACGUUACCCUUUCAAGGUAAAAAUGUGGGGUUCAAAUCCCCCUAGGGUCACCA
Molecule: transfer RNA, 77 nt
Filed under: Saprospiraceae bacterium
Lineage: Bacteria; Pseudomonadati; Bacteroidota; Saprospiria; Saprospirales; Saprospiraceae
Description: tRNA-Glu
Rfam family: tRNA
About the family: Transfer RNA (tRNA) molecules are approximately 80 nucleotides in length. Their secondary structure includes four short double-helical elements and three loops (D, anti-codon, and T loops).
Source: RNAcentral